UACAGAGGUCUCAAGCGUUGUUCGGAUUCAUUGGGCGUAAAGGGUGCGUAGGCGGCGUGGUAAGUCGGGUGUGAAAUCUCGGAGCUUAACUCCGAAACUGCAUUCGAUACUGCCGCGCUUGAGGACUGGAGAGGAGACUGGAAUUUACGGUGUAGCGGUGAAAUGCGUAGAUAUCGUAAGGAAGACCAGUGGCGAAGGCGGGUCUCUGGACAGUUCCAGACGCUGAGGCACGAAGGUCAGGGGAGCAAACGGG
This 253-nucleotide ribosomal RNA is filed under the name uncultured bacterium. RNAcentral's name for it is "partial 16S ribosomal RNA". It matches the Rfam family "Bacterial small subunit ribosomal RNA", at positions 524 to 776 of the family's 1533-position model. The record is from RNAcentral.